RNAcentral lists this long non-coding RNA (1074 nucleotides) under Oreochromis niloticus (Nile tilapia). RNAcentral's name for it is "lncRNA (ENSONIG00000036574.1)". The record is from RNAcentral. Lineage: Eukaryota; Metazoa; Chordata; Actinopteri; Cichliformes; Cichlidae.
AUUUGAUCUGAUUCCAUGAAGUAUUAUUUUGUGAUCAUUAUAAGGUAACUAAUAAAAAGUAUUCAAAUGUGCUAACCUGCAACGCAGUGAGUGUGUUACUUCACUGCGUUGGCUGUAGCUCAGGUGGUAGAGCGGGUCACCUACCUCCAGUCUACAUGCCAAAUAUCCUUGGGCAAGAUACUAACCCCAUGUUUGCCUACUGGUGGUGGUCAGAGGGCCCGGUGGCACCAGUGUCAGGCAGUCUCGCCUCUGUCAGUGCGCCCCAGGGCAGCUGUGACUACAAUGUAACUUGACGUCACCAGUGUUUGAAUGAGUGGAUGAUUGAAUGUAGUGUAAAGCGCUUUGGGGUCCUUAAGGACUAAGUAAAGUGCUAUACAAAUACAGGCCAUUUAGCAUUAAAACAUGUACAAACUAAAAUGUAUCGUCUUCCUUGUUGUUGUAAGGUAAUAUUGAGCUUUUGGCUCAAUGAUAUUUUUAGCUUUUCAGGUUAAUUUCUCAUAUUUAAUUGUGCCAUAAAUGAUUAUGUUUAAGUUUUCUGUUCAUUCAAAAUAACAAACUACUGUCCUCUACUGUUCUCAGAGAGUCACCUAUAAACUGUACAUGCAUGACUUUUCACACACCGUGUGUGUGUGUGUGUGUGUGUGUGUGUCUGUCUGUCUGUCUGUUUGGAAAGAAAAGCCUUCAAACACUGUUAUUAUUAUAACAUGAACACAUACAAAUAAAAAAAACCCUUUUCCCUCUGGUGGACAAACUCUGUAACUACAACAUGUUUCUAAAAGGCUUCAAGCCUACUUUGAUAUUUUUGCAGUUCCUCAUUAUGUCUGUUUGGAGAUGUUGUAAUGAGUGAAUGAAGUCAGACUGUAGAUUUUCUUUCUUCUAGCUGUACUGACUGACCUUUGACCUCAUGUGUUGAUGACUCUUCACCUCUGUCUCCUCUCACAGGAGAAGAUGAUCUGCAGGAUCCUGCUGCUCAUCAUCUUCACCUCAUGUGUCUCUGGAUCAUUUGUAGUCAAUGUGACACAGACCUCCUAUCAGGCAGAGGAGAACCACAACAAAAGGAAUCUUACAAAAUGA